Molecule: ribosomal RNA, 462 nt
Filed under: Triticum aestivum (bread wheat)
Lineage: Eukaryota; Viridiplantae; Streptophyta; Magnoliopsida; Poales; Poaceae
Description: partial small subunit ribosomal RNA
Source: RNAcentral
AUGUUCUCCAUCGCGGCUGCCCUGCGGAUUUCUGUCGCGAUUGCCCUUAUUGACUUUGGGCAACUCUGCAUUGCUUUACACGAGCCUGAUCUCACGACUGAAGACGACCGAUCUAGAUGGCGGCUAGAGCCUUCUGGGCAAUUCUCCACUAAAUCUCUCUACCAGGCCAUCGCCCCCUCGCUUGGCCAUGAGGUGUUCACCUCCAUCUGGGAGAUUCGGCUCCCUCUGAAAAUUAGGAUAUUCUUGUGGCAAUGGAUUCGCGGUCCGCUCCCGUCCUGCGUGGAGGUCCUAAAGCGCAAUGGCCCUGGUGAUGGGCGUUGCCUGCUUUGCGGGCCUGAAGAAGAUUUGAACCAUAUCUUCUUCUCCUGCGUGUCCGCGUAGUUCCUAUGGAGCUGUUUCCGCGAGAUAGUGGGUGGAAGCUGGGACCACAGCAACUUCCCCGCUCUCUUCGCCAAACUCUAG